RNAcentral lists this long non-coding RNA (281 nucleotides) under Pan troglodytes (chimpanzee). RNAcentral's name for it is "lncRNA (ENSPTRG00000054310.1)". Lineage: Eukaryota; Metazoa; Chordata; Mammalia; Primates; Hominidae. The record is from RNAcentral.
UUGUUGCUGUUGUUGCUGUUGUUUUCAAAGACCACCCCAGCCACUGUUUACAGGAUCAAAAGCAUUAUAAAAUAUGUGUAAUUAUUUCCUGAGCACGCCCUUCCUCCUCCUCUCUCUGUCUCUCUGUCUGUCUCUCUCUCUCUCUUUCUCUGUCUGUCUUCUCUCUCUCUUUGCCUGUCUGUUUCUCUGUCUCUGUCUCUCUGUCUCUCUCUCUCUCCCUGUCUCUCUCUCUGUGUCUGUCUUCUGUCUUACUUUCUCUGCCUGUCUGUCUGUCUGUCUCU